RNAcentral lists this ribosomal RNA (400 nucleotides) under uncultured bacterium. RNAcentral's name for it is "bacterial SSU rRNA". It matches the Rfam family "Bacterial small subunit ribosomal RNA", at positions 975 to 1375 of the family's 1533-position model. The record is from RNAcentral.
CAAGUCUUGACAUCCCUCUGAAACCUCUAGAGAUAGAGGCGGCCUUCGGGACAGAGGUGACAGUGGUGCAUGGUUGUCGUCAGCUCGUGUCGUGAGAUGUUGGGUUAAGUCCCGCAACGAGCGCAACCCUUGAUUUUAGUUGCCAGCACUUUGGGUGGGCACUCUAGAAUGACUGCCGGUGACAAACCGGAGGAAGGCGGGGAUGACGUCAAAUCAUCAUGCCCCUUAUGACUUGGGCUACACACGUACUACAAUGGCUGGUACAACGGGAAGCGAAGCCGCGAGGUGGAGCCAAUCCUAUAAAAGCCAGUCUCAGUUCGGAUUGCAGGCUGCAACUCGCCUGCAUGAAGUCGGAAUUGCUAGUAAUCGCGGAUCAGCAUGCCGCGGUGAAUACGUUCCC